UGUUCUGCAGCUCACAGAAUUUUUUUUGUCACUUUAACUUCAGUGAUCUCCGGUGCCCCCGAAGGUGGUGCUGACUGUCUCCCCAGGAACAAUGCGGAGACCCUGGGAUUUUGUAUGUAGGGUCUGAGACACAGGCGGGAAUGUAGAGCAACAGAAGGAAGUUCUCUUAAGGUUGCUUCAUUCCAGACCCCUGGGAUGCCCCCACAAUUACACCAAAAUUCUGUUCUGGAAGAUCUGCCCACUCCAAUCAGAUUCCCAAGGCCAAGACAAACAAUAAAACGCAUGACCAUCACAACAAAAGGAGGUGGGAGGAUAAACUAUGGUGAGGUCAGCCCCCUAAAGAGUGAGCUUAUUGGCCGAGGCGGCCAACACGCCUGUAAUCCCAGAACUUUGGGAGGCCGAGGUG
This 406-nucleotide long non-coding RNA is filed under the name Homo sapiens (human). Its description in RNAcentral is "HSALNT0115613". The record is from RNAcentral. Lineage: Eukaryota; Metazoa; Chordata; Mammalia; Primates; Hominidae.